GUAGGUGAACCUGCGGAAGGAUCAUUAACACGUUUAUUUAAAACCAAACGUACCAAAACUCUGUGAACAGAGAUUGUGUGAACAAUCUCGCCCUUUUUUCACUAUAUCACAAACCCCAAAAAACAAUUUAAGGUUGUUAUUCGUAACAUCUUUUAAUUGUCUUGUAACUAAAUUUUACUUAUUUUUCGAUAUUUUAUAUCGAGAAAACAAAAAGAUGUCUCUUCCUUUCGAGGAAUCGGGACUAAUCUUU
This 250-nucleotide unclassified non-coding RNA is filed under the name plant metagenome. RNAcentral describes it as "partial contains small subunit ribosomal RNA, internal transcribed spacer 1, and 5.8S ribosomal RNA". The record is from RNAcentral.